Gorilla gorilla gorilla (western lowland gorilla) is the source of this 529-nucleotide long non-coding RNA. RefSeq lists it as uncharacterized. Lineage: Eukaryota; Metazoa; Chordata; Mammalia; Primates; Hominidae. The record is from RefSeq and is a predicted model, not a curated record. The transcript has 3 exons.
AGGAGACAAAGAACCGGGCCAAGAAUCUGAGCAAACGGAGAGCAGCUCCCUGCGGGGGCUCAGGAAACACUUGCCAGCGUCCACCGGUUGGAGAGCUGGCGCCUGCUCAUCUGAGGGCAGGUCAUGUGGACGGCAGUGGGGCCACCGAGGGCUGGCACACAGAAGAAUGCGGACGGUCCUCUAGAAGCAGAAGGAACGGCCCUCUGAGGGUCAGUCUCAAUUUGCCGGCACCAAGCAGCAUCCCCGCACAGCACGUGAAUUCUCGUGAGACACCACAGUGACUCGUAUUGACAUGCAGUGAGCUCUUCACUAAAGUUUGAAAACACUGCCAGAUUACUUUCCAAAAACACCCUAGCAGUUCCCACUUCCCAUCCACCGGGUCUGCCAGCCCAGAAGCGUCCUGAAACUUCCCCAGCACAGAGCUGUGCUUUCGCCCUUCCCCAUCCCUUGCUGGUUGAGAGCAGCAUCUCAUCAUUGCCUUGGGUCAGUAUCUACUCAGAUGCUCAGCAUCCACUUCCGAAUGUUUUCU